AAUCUUCGGCAAUGGACGGAAGUCUGACCGAGCAACGCCGCGUGAGUGAAGAAGGUUUUCGGAUCGUAAAGCUCUGUUGUAAGAGAAGAACGAGUGUGAGAGUGGAAAGUUCACACUGUGACGGUAUCUUACCAGAAAGGGACGGCUAACUACGUGCCAGCAGCCGCGGUAAUACGUAGGUCCCGAGCGUUGUCCGGAUUUAUUGGGCGUAAAGCGAGCGCAGGCGGUUAGAUAAGUCUGAAGUUAAAGGCUGUGGCUUAACCAUAGUACGCUUUGGAAACUGUUUAACUUGAGUGCAAGAGGGGAGAGUGGAAUUCCAUGUGUAGCGGUGAAAUGCGUAGAUAUAUGGAGGAACACCGGUGGCGAAAGCGGCUCUCUGGCUUGUAACUGACGCUGAGGCUCGAAAGCGUGGGGAGCAAACAGGAUUAGAUACCCUGGUAGUCCACGCCGUA
This 452-nucleotide ribosomal RNA is filed under the name uncultured marine bacterium. RNAcentral's name for it is "bacterial SSU rRNA". It matches the Rfam family "Bacterial small subunit ribosomal RNA", at positions 360 to 804 of the family's 1533-position model. The record is from RNAcentral.